This 655-nucleotide ribosomal RNA is filed under the name Escherichia coli. RNAcentral's name for it is "bacterial SSU rRNA". It matches the Rfam family "Bacterial small subunit ribosomal RNA", at positions 878 to 1533 of the family's 1533-position model. Lineage: Bacteria; Pseudomonadati; Pseudomonadota; Gammaproteobacteria; Enterobacterales; Enterobacteriaceae. The record is from RNAcentral. RNAcentral also lists the same sequence under 1 other name.
GAGUACGGCCGCAAGGUUAAAACUCAAAUGAAUUGACGGGGGCCCGCACAAGCGGUGGAGCAUGUGGUUUAAUUCGAUGCAACGCGAAGAACCUUACCUGGUCUUGACAUCCACGGAAGUUUUCAGAGAUGAGAAUGUGCCUUCGGGAACCGUGAGACAGGUGCUGCAUGGCUGUCGUCAGCUCGUGUUGUGAAAUGUUGGGUUAAGUCCCGCAACGAGCGCAACCCUUAUCCUUUGUUGCCAGCGGUCCGGCCGGGAACUCAAAGGAGACUGCCAGUGAUAAACUGGAGGAAGGUGGGGAUGACGUCAAGUCAUCAUGGCCCUUACGACCAGGGCUACACACGUGCUACAAUGGCGCAUACAAAGAGAAGCGACCUCGCGAGAGCAAGCGGACCUCAUAAAGUGCGUCGUAGUCCGGAUUGGAGUCUGCAACUCGACUCCAUGAAGUCGGAAUCGCUAGUAAUCGUGGAUCAGAAUGCCACGGUGAAUACGUUCCCGGGCCUUGUACACACCGCCCGUCACACCAUGGGAGUGGGUUGCAAAAGAAGUAGGUAGCUUAACCUUCGGGAGGGCGCUUACCACUUUGUGAUUCAUGACUGGGGUGAAGUCGUAACAAGGUAACCGUAGGGGAACCUGCGGUUGGAUCACCUCCUUA